CCCUUAGAUGUUCUGGGCCGCACGCGUGCUACACUGAGUGGAUCAGCGGGUCAGGUUGCGCGAAAGCGUUUCCUAAUCUUUAAAUCCGCUCGUGAUGGGGAUUGACGGUUGCAAUUUUCUGUCAUGAACGAGGAAUACCUUGUAAGCGCGGGUCAUCAUCCCGCGCUGAAUACGUCCCUGCCCUUUGUACACACCGCCCGUCGCUCCUACCGAUUGAGUGGGCCGGUGAGGCUUUGGGAUCUGAGCGGAAAGAGCGUUUCGCUGUUUCUGCUCGGAAAACUCAGUCGAACCUUAUCAUUUAGAGGAAGGAGAAGUCGUAACA
RNAcentral lists this ribosomal RNA (322 nucleotides) under uncultured eukaryote. RNAcentral's name for it is "partial 18S ribosomal RNA". It matches the Rfam family "Eukaryotic small subunit ribosomal RNA", at positions 1470 to 1796 of the family's 1831-position model. The record is from RNAcentral.